GAAGGGCAAAACGCCAAGACGACCGCAGUCGCAUUCGCGACAUACCGAUCUGGUUACGACCGAUCGAAGGAUAUUCGGCUUGCCACCGUUUAUCAUACAUCCCGAUGCAUACGUCCGACCAAGGGCCGGACAAUGGAUAUUCGACUUGCCAUCGUUAUCCUAUCCGAAUACGUCGGACGCUACUCGACUAUCAGAUUCUGC
RNAcentral lists this long non-coding RNA (201 nucleotides) under Elaeis guineensis (African oil palm). RNAcentral's name for it is "long non-coding RNA (EGUI_LNC005437)". Lineage: Eukaryota; Viridiplantae; Streptophyta; Magnoliopsida; Arecales; Arecaceae. The record is from RNAcentral.